UGUAUAGCUAUGAUGAAGAGGAGUAAAAGGUUAACGCUUUAAGAGAGAGGUGUCCCUAGGCUGAGAGAUACUUUAAGAUAGUUUGCCUUUGAAGGUAGCUUCAGAGCUUUUCGCUUGAAUUUUAGUAGAGUGAAACGGUUUUUCCGUUAUAAAUAUUAAAGUGCUAAUUAGCAGUUUACUUGCUAAUUAGAAUUAAGGUGGUAACGCGGCUUUUCGUCCUUAUA
RNAcentral lists this non-coding RNA (224 nucleotides) under Clostridium cylindrosporum. Its description in RNAcentral is "T-box sequence". It matches the Rfam family "T-box leader". Rfam says of the family: Uncharged tRNA acts as the effector for transcription antitermination of genes in the T-box leader family. T-boxes are found upstream of many aminoacyl-tRNA synthetase genes and some amino acid biosynthetic genes usually in Gram-positive bacteria. Lineage: Bacteria; Bacillati; Bacillota; Clostridia; Eubacteriales; Clostridiaceae. The record is from RNAcentral.